UACGUAGGGUGCAAGCGUUGUCCGGAAUUAUUGGGCGUAAAGAGCUCGUAGGCGGUCUGUCGCGUCGGAUGUGAAAAUCCAGGGCUCAACCCUGGACCUGCAUUCGAUACGGGCAGACUAGAGUUCGGCAGGGGAGACUGGAAUUCCUGGUGUAGCGGUGAAAUGCGUAGAUAUCUGGAGGAAUACCGGUGGCGAAGGCGGCAUCCUGGACCGGCAUUGACGCUGAGGAGCGAAAGCUAGGGGAGCAAACGGG
This 253-nucleotide ribosomal RNA is filed under the name uncultured bacterium. RNAcentral describes it as "partial 16S ribosomal RNA". It matches the Rfam family "Bacterial small subunit ribosomal RNA", at positions 524 to 776 of the family's 1533-position model. The record is from RNAcentral.